AGGGGGCAACCUGACAAAUCGUGUGUCUCCUGCAGGUUCCGGGAGAGUAGGCAGAUACAGUACGAAGUAAGGAACAGAUCAGAAGACAUCUCCUCUGGGCAACUGGUUACAGAGGGAGAAAGAAAAGAGGGGGGAGAGUGAGAAAAGAAGAGAGACAAACAGAGACAGGAGCAAGAAAGGAAAAAAGAGUUUUCUCUUCAAAGAGCAUCAUUAGAACAAAGGCAUCAUUCAUUGUUACUGUCCUGUUACUCAGAUUUAUAAUACAGUUGCAGUCUACAAAUUCCAAUGCUAUUUCUAGGCAAGCAAAUUAUACAACUCAUAAGAAGAUGGUGAAUGAUCCCAAACUAAUUACUUUGUGACCUUUUCUUUGACUAUUUUCUGUUUGAAAUAUAUUAUUGAAAACUGUAUAUAUAAUGGCACCAACUACAAUUAUUUUUUAACAUUCUACAAAUGUAUUAUUUGAGAGUAAUGUCAAACUUUUUCAAUGCAACCCAUCAGUCUGCAGACACAGUGUUGUAUGUUAUGUAGAGUAGACCAUGCUACAGUAUAUCUUAUCAAGAACCCUUUGUCUGCUUAUAAGACAAACUAAUAAUACUGAUCCCAGGAUUUCCCACUGUAGCAAACAGUUGGUAUGCAAUAAACUUGUGCA
Long non-coding RNA from Pseudophryne corroboree (corroboree frog), 649 nucleotides. RefSeq lists it as uncharacterized. The transcript has 4 exons. The record is from RefSeq and is a predicted model, not a curated record. NCBI's taxonomy places the organism in Eukaryota, Metazoa, Chordata, Amphibia, Anura, Myobatrachidae.